Papaver somniferum (opium poppy) is the source of this 1111-nucleotide long non-coding RNA. RefSeq lists it as uncharacterized. Lineage: Eukaryota; Viridiplantae; Streptophyta; Magnoliopsida; Ranunculales; Papaveraceae. The transcript has 2 exons. The record is from RefSeq and is a predicted model, not a curated record.
UGAGAGCAUCCACCGAAUGUUGGGCUCCAACCCAUCCCUUCCACAGGACGUCCCCCUAGGAAAACUCCUAAACGCACCCAAGACAGAUCUAACAUCCACAACGACAGCACCGACAGUGAUAAGAUUUGAAGGUAUGCGUGGUGGUGGAGCUUGAGGAUGUUUAAGUUUAAUUCAAGUAGAGUAUAGGGUGUAGAGGGGGCAACACCAUUCGAAGAGAGAACGCGAAUAACGGCGAAGGAGUAAGCAAUUUAAGGGCAAGGUUACGGCAUCCAUUAGCCUCCCUCCACUGAGUCAAUGCUUGAUUGAUGCUAGCAGCCUGCAAUCUUUUCCUAUUGCCUGACCUCUCUUCCUUAUCAUUCUUAGGAGUGUAUAGAUUUAAAGUGAAGGUAGUCAGAAGCAAUAAUUGAAUCCAAGCACCAAGAUCUGAUGGCUUAGCUAAUACCUUGUCCAACGUAGCUUUCAAUGCCCUGGAGAAGUUGAGUCUACAAGCCGGGGGAAUGCUGGUAUUUGUCGUGAUUUGUUUCUGGAAAAUUGGAUCAAGCAAGUCCAAAGACAUCCCUUCAUCCUCCAUUAUUGUACUGCCAACCUCCAAGCAAUGUUUCUCAAUGUUGUAUAUUAAAAAUUCCUAUUGGUACCAUUGAGGCCCUGCGAUAACAUCAUGAUCACCGUGUCCACGACAAGGCCUACUCCAUGCGUACAAGUGCAUGCAUUUGCUGCGCAUCCACAUCUGCAACUGUCUUAAUAACACUUCCCAAGCAUCAAAAAUGUCAGCAUUGUUAAUAAUUCUACCCCUGCAGUUAUUCUUGCUUUCAGCUGAAGCAAGGUGGCGAUCAUACAUAUGACUUAGUAUUGAACCAUGGCAGAAACCCCUACCACCUAUGUAAGGCCGGCUUAGGCACUAGGCCGUAUAGGCGGCAGCCUAGAGCCCCAAAAUAUUGGGGGCCCAAAAUCUUUUCCUUUUUUAUGUUAUUAUAGGUAAUAUGUGACAAUUAUAAGUGUUACAAAACUGUUUUAUUACAGUUAUUAAAUUAUUAGAAAUGUUGUGACAAAUAUAAUUGUUACUAAAUGUUUUGAAACAUAUACAAGCGUUACUAAAUUUUUGUUUUCUGAA